UUUUGUUAAAAAUUCAUAUCUUAUCAUUAUGAUUUUUUCAUACAUAAACAUAGUCUCAUUACACUGUAUAAAUACAAUACUUUAACUCGUUAGUAAUCAGUAAGACGAAGACUACAGAACUUAAACCACAGAAGAAGUUUCAACCAAUUGUUCGCUAUAAAGUGCAAGAAAUCUAUACCAUAAAGAUGUCGAAAGUAAUAUUUGCAUUAAUUGCACUACUCGUUGUUAUUGUGAUGAUGGGAAACGCUGUCGAGGCUUGCAAAGAAGAUUUACGUGAUUGUCAAAACGAUAGCGACUGCUGUUCAGGGUCAUGUGCAACACAUUUAGAUUUUCUAGGAGUUCGUUUCUGCGCUGUAAGUUAUGGAAAAUAAAAAAAAAUUCGUGUGUAUACUUCUGUACACGCGUUAGAAGUUUACUUCUUUAUGUAGGAUAAAUCCUACAUAAAUAAUGCACUAAAUAAUGAAUUUGUUUCUGUACUUAAAUUAAAAUAGAAUUCAUUUGAUAUAAAUAAA
This is a long non-coding RNA of Microplitis mediator, 512 nucleotides long. RefSeq lists it as uncharacterized. NCBI's taxonomy places the organism in Eukaryota, Metazoa, Arthropoda, Insecta, Hymenoptera, Braconidae. The transcript has 3 exons. The record is from RefSeq and is a predicted model, not a curated record.